Molecule: small RNA, 572 nt
Filed under: Pan troglodytes (chimpanzee)
Lineage: Eukaryota; Metazoa; Chordata; Mammalia; Primates; Hominidae
Description: retained intron
Source: RNAcentral
GAUAGGCGGAAAGGAAGCCUCCUGGGGGUCUGGUCUGAUCCUCCUGAUCCUUGAAGAGCUUCCAGCAUCAUUCCCCCUUCAUGCUCCCCAUUUUCAUAAGUAACUGGUGGCUUGACAUGCUGGGUUUGGUUUGGGAGCCCUCUGACAAACUGAAAGGGUGGAUCAGGAAGCGUCUGACCACACCACUGGUAGACACGCUCUGCGUCCGACAAGUCCUUCCCAGCAACAUGUAGAAAGCAAAGUGCAUGCUUCAUUCUAAGGUCGUUGUCUAAAUGUUUCCCUGUGUUUCCUUUUUGUAGGAUGUGUUCUUAAUUUGCUUUUCCCUUGUGAGUCCUGCAUCAUUUGAAAAUGUCCGUGCAAAGUGGUAUCCUGAGGUGCGGCACCACUGUCCCAACACUCCCAUCAUCCUAGUGGGAACUAAACUUGAUCUUAGGGAUGAUAAAGACACGAUCGAGAAACUGAAGGAGAAGAAGCUGACUCCCAUCACCUAUCCGCAGGGUCUAGCCAUGGCUAAGGAGAUUGGUGCUGUAAAAUAUCUGGAGUGCUCGGCGCUCACACAGCGAGGCCUCAAG